UAGAUUCAGGAAAUAUUGCUGAUUGCAAAGAUGCACAUAAAUUUAUGGGUAUCUUCUACUGCAACUUCAUGUUGAAAAUGCCAACUUCUAUAAGAUCAUAAAAACUUUUUUUUUUCAAUUACUUUGCAUGUUGUUCCCUGUAUAGCCAGUACAGUUGUUCUCAUUAGCUUUCUUUGUUUUGCAGGUAUAGAAAGUUUUAACACUUUCAUAUCUUUUCUCUCUUAGGUAUGGUAACAUAUGCUCCCAAUUCAGCCUUGGAACCCAUUUAGACCACAAACAGCUAUCAUUCUCUAAGUCAAGCAACCAUCUUGCCUUUGAAUAAUUAGUCUGAUAACUCUGAAUGCUAAAAGAAAUCUUUGAUUUGAAUUAGUGUUAUUUCACAUGUAAUUCAGCAUUAUUUUGACUUCUUUUUCCUGAGGCUGGUCACAUAAAGGUAUUUUCAAUGCCUUAGUUCAGUACAGGAAAAUGUCUUCAAAAUUUUAAACAUGUUAAUAGUGCAUAAGAUUUCUCUGAAAUAUUAUUUCCCAUCCAGAAGCUA
Molecule: long non-coding RNA, 538 nt
Organism: Oxyura jamaicensis (ruddy duck)
Lineage: Eukaryota; Metazoa; Chordata; Aves; Anseriformes; Anatidae
Exons: 2
Source: RefSeq, a predicted model, not a curated record